Molecule: long non-coding RNA, 256 nt
Filed under: Physcomitrium patens
Lineage: Eukaryota; Viridiplantae; Streptophyta; Bryopsida; Funariales; Funariaceae
Description: long non-coding RNA (PPAT_LNC002116)
Source: RNAcentral
UAUCAAUAUAUAUUGUCAAGAAAGAAUCUUAUUUUUUUUACUCUAAAAAAUACCUUUUUAUACAAAACAAAAUAUGUCAUCUUUGUAAAUUGAUCUAAAACAAUAUAGAUAGUAUCAGAUAUACAUGAUGGUAGCAAAUCAAUGAUAAAGUCUAUUGAUAUUGAAGACCAUGGUUGCUUUGGAAUUGGCAGCAGCUAUUGAAGUCUAUAAGAAUGUUGUCAGGAAUUCUUUGAUCUUGAAUAGAUGCCACCUAAGA